This 285-nucleotide long non-coding RNA is filed under the name Lonchura striata (white-rumped munia). RNAcentral describes it as "domestica (Bengalese finch) lncRNA (ENSLSDG00000010096.1)". Lineage: Eukaryota; Metazoa; Chordata; Aves; Passeriformes; Estrildidae. The record is from RNAcentral.
CCUUCCCCGGGGGGGUGUUCCCGGGAGCCGCCUCGGCCGCGGCGCUCAAGGCUGCUGCAAAAGCUGGUGCUGGGAUUCCUGGUGCUUUUCCAGGCGGUGUACUCCCCGGAGCAGGUGUUCGCUUCCCUGGAGUGGGAGUGCUGCCUGGAGUCCCCACUGGAGCUGGAGUCAAGCCUAAAGCCCCAGGUAGGUCCCCUCAGUCGCCUUGGAACACUGGGGGUUCUCACUGGGCUGCAGCUUGGUACCCCAGCCCAGCUUUUGGGGUCACAGCCCUACAGGGCACUU